This 484-nucleotide ribosomal RNA is filed under the name uncultured bacterium. RNAcentral describes it as "partial 16S ribosomal RNA". It matches the Rfam family "Bacterial small subunit ribosomal RNA", at positions 28 to 523 of the family's 1533-position model. The record is from RNAcentral.
GACGAACGCUGGCGGCGUGCUUAACACAUGCAAGUCGAACGAUGAAGCUGGAGCUUGCUCCGGUGGAUUAGUGGCGAACGGGUGAGUAACACGUGAGCAAUCUGCCCUUCACUCUGGGAUAACUGCGGGAAACUGUAGCUAAUACCGGAUACGAGACCUUGGGGGCAUCCCAGGGUCUGGAAAGAAUUUCGGUGAAGGAUGAGCUCGCGGCCUAUCAGCUAGUUGGUGAGGUAAUGGCUCACCAAGGCGACGACGGGUAGCCGGCCUGAGAGGGUGACCGGGCCAACUGGGACUGGGACACGGCCCAGGCUCCUACGGGAGGCAGCAGUGGGGAAGAUUGCACAAUGGGCGAAAGGCUGAUGCAGCAACGCCGCGUGAGGGAUGAAGGCCUUCGGGUUGUAAACCUCUUUUAGUAGGGAAGAAGCGCAAGUGACGGUACCUACAGAAAAAGCACCGGCUAACUACGUGCCAGCCGCCGCGGUAA